AGGUCUUGACAUCCCUCUGACCGCUCUAGAGAUAGAGUUUUCCUUCGGGACAGAGGUGACAGGUGGUGCAUGGUUGUCGUCAGCUCGUGUCGUGAGAUGUUGGGUUAAGUCCCGCAACGAGCGCAACCCCUAUUGUUAGUUGCCAUCAUUCAGUUGGGCACUCUAGCGAGACUGCCGGUAAUAAACCGGAGGAAGGUGGGGAUGACGUCAAAUCAUCAUGCCCCUUAUGACCUGGG
Molecule: ribosomal RNA, 236 nt
Filed under: uncultured bacterium
Lineage: Bacteria
Description: partial 16S ribosomal RNA
Rfam family: Bacterial small subunit ribosomal RNA
Source: RNAcentral